AUCGGUUGUGCCAUCUCAUUGCAGGCCAAGCACAUGGAGAAGUUUGGGAAGAUUUGGUCAAGAUUCUCAAAAAGUAUGACAAGAGAACUAGGGUCCUUAUCCGUCUCCUCUUCAUUCAAAAUGUUCUGCUCCAACCUUUCUUCAACACUGACCUGCUAGCUUGUGGGGGAGUGCGAGGCUAUGCUCGAACAGCUCCUACCAUAUUGAACAAACCAUUUGUAUCGAAUGAACAAGGAACAAAAGAUAUCAACACCAAGACAAGCCUCUGAACCCUAUUUCUUCCUUGGAUAGCAGCGGAUGCAUUCCAAAGCUUGAUUAGAUUGAGUUCAUGGAGAGCAUGUACAUGAAUAGCUUGAUGAGAUAGAUUGCAAAUUAUGUGCAAAUGUUAUGUCAAAUUGGGUGAUGUGAACGUAUCAUUGGUACACAUCCAGUUGUGCAA
Long non-coding RNA from Lolium perenne, 439 nucleotides. RefSeq lists it as uncharacterized. The record is from RefSeq and is a predicted model, not a curated record. NCBI's taxonomy places the organism in Eukaryota, Viridiplantae, Streptophyta, Magnoliopsida, Poales, Poaceae.